RNAcentral lists this ribosomal RNA (468 nucleotides) under uncultured bacterium. Its description in RNAcentral is "partial 16S ribosomal RNA". It matches the Rfam family "Bacterial small subunit ribosomal RNA", at positions 28 to 507 of the family's 1533-position model. The record is from RNAcentral.
GACGAACGCUGGCGGCGUGCUUAACACAUGCAAGUCGAACGGUGAAGCUCCAGCUUGCUGGAGUGGAUCAGUGGCGAACGGGUGAGUAACACGUGAGCAACCUGCCCCUGACUCUGGAAUAAGCGCUGGAAACGGCGUCUAAUACUGGAUACGAGAAGGGUCCGCAUGGGCACUUUCUGGACAGUUUUUCGGUUGGGGAUGGGCUCGCGGCCUAUCAGCUUGUUGGUGAGGUAAUGGCUCACCAAGGCGACGACGGGUAGCCGGCCUGAGAGGGCGACCGGCCACACUGGGACUGAGACACGGCCCAGACUCCUACGGGAGGCAGCAGUGGGGAAUAUUGCACAAUGGGCGAAAGCCUGAUGCAGCGACGCCGCGUGAGGGAUGACGGCCUUCGGGUUGUAAACCUCUUUCAGCAGGGAAGAAGCGAAAGUGACGGUACCUGCAGAAGAAGCACCGGCUAACUACGUG